CCUACGGGAGGCAGCAGUGAGGAAUAUUGGUCAAUGGGCGAGAGUCUGAACCAGCCAAGUAGCGUGAAGGAUGACUGCCCUACGGGUUGUAAACUUCUUUUAUCAAGGAAUAAAGUGAUGCACGUGUGCCUUUUUGUAUGUACUUUAUGAAUAAGGAUCGGCUAACUCCGUGCCAGCAGCCGCGGUAAUACGGAGGAUCCGAGCGUUCUCCGGAUUUAUUGGGUUUAAAGGGUGCGUAGGUGGGUUGUUAAGUCAGUUGUGAAAGUUUGCGGCUCAACCGUAAGAUUGCAAUUGAUACUGGCAGUCUUGAGUACAGUAGAGGUAGGCGGAAUUCGUGGUGUAGCGGUGAAAUGCUUAGAUAUCACGAAGAACUCCGAUUGCGAAGGCAGCUUACUGAACUGCAACUGACAUUGAUGCUCGAAAGUGUGGGUAUCAAACAGGAUUAGAUACCCUUGUAGUC
Molecule: ribosomal RNA, 460 nt
Filed under: uncultured bacterium
Lineage: Bacteria
Description: partial 16S ribosomal RNA
Rfam family: Bacterial small subunit ribosomal RNA
Source: RNAcentral